CUCAGACGUGGGUCAGCGUGUCCAGGCUGCUGAACUGUCCACUUGAUGGGGGUGUGUGGCACAGCUGGGUUGUAUGGGGCAGGAGCUUGGCUCAUCUGGAAUUCACUGUAGGUUACUCUUCAUUACAUCCUUCAUGCUGCCUUUGUUACAGAGACUAGUAUAAGGACAAGUCUCACUGAGCUCAGUGAGCCACUCUACCAAACCGGUGAAGCUGUAGAGUGGUUGUAGGCAUCUCCUGCUUCACUACCUGGUCAGUCAGCAAUACAGGUCCUUACUGAACUUGAGAAGGAAUUGUGAACUGCUGCUUCUUCUGGACACGUCCAGCGAUAGAUGACAGACAGGAGGAGGCUGAUCAAGAGCUCCUGUCACUGUUAGGAAUAGAUACUUGAGAUGCACACCUGGGGCUCUCUCACUGCACCAUCCUUGUGGAUCUCCUGCUUCUCCUUUUAAAAGGUGAACAGAUGAUACCUCAAGUCUAGGAGAAGCUGGAUAUCUUCUGAGAUUCUUCCUUGCCAUUGAAGAAGCUAGACGAAGACAGGAGCUGAUUGUAGCAGGAGGUCAGCUGCAGAAGCAGGAAGCUAAUGACAGGGGAUUUUCUUCUUGCACCCUUGUCCACUCUCCUUUACCAUGCCCCCACCCUCCAGCUAAGAACUCACCAAAGCUGUCCUUACAAAGGCCUGCUGCUAGAAUCAAAACUCUGUUGUCAUUGCUGACAGAGUGGCUACAGUGCCUUCAUCAGUCUGCCCUGUUUCAGGAGAACAUUUAUUCCCAGGAAUGUUUAACCAAAAUGAAUAACUGCAAAAGCCCCAGGGACCUUAGAGAAGCCUGCCUUGUGUUCCCUUCAGCUCUUACUACUGCUUCUGCUAGUCCUACCAAGUGGGAUUCACCUCUGCUUGGACACAUCAGCCACAGAACUUGUACCUACUCAUAGCACAGCUCAUUUUUUAAUAGCUCUGACUAUUGGGAAGUUCUGCUUUGUAUGGAGUCAAAUAUGCUGCAGACUUAUUCCCAUUAAAGCCUCUUUAGAGGCAUGUGUGACAAGUGGAGCUGCUGCUUUGCAAACAUCUGAAGACAACACUAACUAUGGAACUAGCACAUUGCUUCUUCAAAGUAAGGCCUUCAGACACCUUUGUCUUGUACACGUGCUUAGUUACAUUCUUGGUUUAUUCUUCUGACCUCUGGUGCUACCUCACUGGGUGUGAUCCAGCUCCUUGCCACAGGAAGACAAAGGAGAGAUACUGCACAAAGUUACCAUCCCCAGCACUAUCUGUCCACCACUGGAUCAUCCAGCUACCCAUAGCCUAAAGAAGGGCUUGGCUUCCACAUUUUUCCUUUUUGUUUCCUCUCUGUUACCCUCUGCCAUGUUCAUAGAGUAUUUAGAUUCAAUGGCAAUAUACUCAUGUAAAGUUCCCUAAACAACUUAAGAAGUGUAAAA
This is a long non-coding RNA of Peromyscus eremicus (cactus mouse), 1435 nucleotides long. RefSeq lists it as uncharacterized. The transcript has 6 exons. NCBI's taxonomy places the organism in Eukaryota, Metazoa, Chordata, Mammalia, Rodentia, Cricetidae. The record is from RefSeq and is a predicted model, not a curated record.